Non-coding RNA from Schistosoma haematobium, 45 nucleotides. The record is from Rfam. Lineage: Eukaryota; Metazoa; Platyhelminthes; Trematoda; Strigeidida; Schistosomatidae.
AUCCGGCUGACGAGUCCCAAAUAGGACGAAGCACGCAUCCUGGAU